RNAcentral lists this ribosomal RNA (253 nucleotides) under uncultured bacterium. Its description in RNAcentral is "partial 16S ribosomal RNA". It matches the Rfam family "Bacterial small subunit ribosomal RNA", at positions 524 to 776 of the family's 1533-position model. The record is from RNAcentral.
CACGUAGGUGGCGAGCGUUAUUCGGAUUUACUGGGCGUAAAGGGUCCGCAGGGGGCCUGCCAAGUCUGUCGUGAAAUUCCGGGGCUCAACCCCGGGACUGCGGUGGAAACAGGCGGGCUGGAGUUUGUGAGGGGCAGACGGAACACCUGGUGUAGCGGUGGAAUGCGUGGAUAUCAGGUGGAACACCGAUGGCGAAGGCGGUCUGCUGGCACACAACUGACCCUCAGGGACGAAAGCGUGGGUAGCAAACAGG